AUAGAACAUUCACUCAGAAUUAGGUAUAUAAAAAACAAUGAUAUUAUUAAUUGUUCUUUCCAGAAAGAAGAACCAGAAUGGGAUUCUAAAAGACACACUGAACUGCUCAUUGGCAUUGACCAAGAAGAUGCAUCCAAAAUUGUACAGGGGCUGUGGACCUUUAGGAAGCGUAGCUAUCUGUAAUCGCUAUAAAAAUCUACAUUUAGUGUCUCCACAUUGGACAGGUUGUGACAUUUCAGUGUGUAAGAUGGCUAUGCUGAUUGACAGUGAUGUUUUGAUCCUAGAAAUCAAUCUGUGUUACAAAAGUUAAAAUGAGUAUAGUCUAUUGACUAUGAGUCUAUUUUAGGUUAUAGAUUGUUUUUAAAAAAAUAAUAAUAAUCUGAUCCCCACAUUGAGAAAAAGGUUUUCUUUGCCACUGUUUUUUUCUUUCAUUUUUUUAGUAUUUCCAGAUCUACAUAUUGUUUUGCCAGUAGAGCAGAAGACUCAAAUACUGAAGCAGACUUUGAAGUAGUCUGGUAAAUGUAGGAGUAAAGGAUGGAAAAGGGAUGGCAUUACCUGGAAGAGAAGUAUUUUGUAGUAAAUCAUUUUUAUAACUUUUUAUUCCAGUUAGCUCAAUGUUAUAUCUGAGCCACCACUGAAAUGAUAAAAGCCUCAAUCAUAAAUUUGCAAAAGAAGUUGAAUGUUUUCAGGGUGAAAACUAAUUCAACAUCUGUUUGUCUUGGUCUAAGACUGAAGAAGGUAACAGAACUCUGAGCAUAAAUAGCAAGAAUUCUUAGGGUCUUAAAUCAUUUUUUUGCUCCCUUUAGCAAAGGUAACUGAAAGGACUAUGGUUUUGUUUGUUUGUUUCCUUUUCAAACUAGAAAGAAGUGAAAUAAGAGUCUAAGAGUUGACGCAUCUUAUCAAAGGAUUAGUAAUUUUUAUGGGGGAUGUUUCUCAUGCCUUAAAGGUAGCUAGUGGAAAGAAUUGUGGAGGUGUUUCUGUAAGCAUCAGAAUUCUCCCACAAGGUUAUUUAAAGCCAUUUGUAUAUUUUAAAAGGGUAACAGGGUAACAGUGUUAGCCCCAGUGUCAUACAUAGCUAGACUCUCUCUGUAGCUUUAGCUGGUUGUGAUUUUUUUUUUUUAACAUCUUGCCCUAAAAUGUGCUUUAGAAGAGCUAGAGGAAUAACUGUUUUCCACCUUACAUCAGACUUUAUUUCACUUGAGGGUAAACUGAAUCUUGAAUGUUUAUAAAGUGUUUAGGAAUCUUUCAGGGUGAAAUAUGUUAUGUCAAUGUAAAAUGGAGUGAGACUCUGAAACUCUGCCUCAUAAGGUCAAAGAAAACGUUUUAGAAACUGAACAGCAACAGAAAUCUUUGGGAAUUUUUUUCUGAGCACUAGACAUCUGUGACAUGAAAUCAGAAAUGGUUCGUAAAAUUAAGUACAGAAUUUCUUUAAUGGUGUUUGGUGUUCUCAGUGGUUACUAAUUCAAUGUUAACUAUCUCAUGCAGUUCAAUGGAAACCCGUUCACUGAGCUGACCCUGCAUCACCUUAAUGUUUGUUUUUUCUAUUUGUUUUUUGUUUUUAAUUUUAGUAAGGAGUAGAGAAAAACUUAGAUUGUUAUCAGUGAGGUGCCUUAAUGGUAAGGAAAAAAAAAGUAGAUUCCACGUUUAUAAUUUCUUUUUUUUUUUUUCUUAAGGUAAUACAAACUUAUAGCCACAGCGUCAGCGAAAACAAAGUGCACAGUGUUUCUCAGAUCUUUCUUAAAAAAAACCUACUCCAUUGGUUAGUUGUUCUACUUCUUGUUAUUAGAUCUUUCUAUAAGUUUUUGCUUUCUCAGUUCAAUGGGUUUCUUCUGUAAACUUCACAUUUUUUUUUUUUUUUUUUUUUUUUUUUGUUACCAAGAAUAUUUCAAAUGUUUGCAACCAGAAAACUUGUGUGUAAAUAUUUGUGUAGACUCUUGAAAGAUCAAAUGGAACUUGCAAGGGAGGACUAACGUGACUCAAAUUUGUGUAAACCCGAAGAAAAUCUUACAGGGAUUGCUUAUUGUACUUGCAUGUAACUGAUAUCAGAGUAUCCAGAAGAAAAAUAUCAAUUUUUCUUUUGAAACUAACCAACAGCAAGAUCACAUUAUCUGGAAAACAAAAGCCAUCUUUCAAAUUAAACAGGAAAAAUCUAUAGUUACUAAUAUUUGGUAACGCUGCUUAUGUGCCACACAAGAAAGUGUAAUGUCUUUUGUGAUGCCUGUGCAAUGUAUCAAUGCAUCAAGCAACUUGGUUUUCCACAGUUCUCUGUUUGGAUUGGCUUUGUCUAGCAAUAUAUUCUUGAGGUUUGAGUACAAAAAGAAGAGUAGUAGGAUUAUUAUGUGCUUUUCAAGGUGAGUGCAUCACCCCAAAGAGUUGAUUUUGCUACUUCCAAAUGUGAAAGGGCUGAGAAGAUGCCUCCUGGCAACUAGUGGUAUUUGUAGCUUGUGUUGGAAUAAGUCCAAUUCCAAUCAAUCCUUAGUUUUCUACAGCUCUACUGAAAAACAACUCCUUACUUGGAUGCCUCUGAAAAACACUUAAAGGAUUCAGUAGUUCAUCUCUUAAACAGAAGAGACUACGCAAGAAGCCUGUUUUCAUUAAGUUUGGUAACUUCUAGCUUGAUUUAAAGUAUGUGUGUGUGUGCGCAUAUCAACCAUUUCAUAAUCUAGCCUAUACAUGUCUUGUCAGAUUUUUGUUUUUAUUUUUAUUUAUUUUUUAAUGUUAUCUCUUUUGGAGUUGUUGAAUAUUUUGCAAUAUACAUCUGCUUCUCUGGGUUUUGUUAUUCUGACAUAAUACAAAUGUUGCAAGCUGCAAGAUAUGGGAUGAGCCCUAUUUCUCCAAGUGUUUGAAUGAAAUUCAGUGAGUAUGCAAAAGUACUUUUUGAUGAUAGCUGGGACUUCCUAUCAUGUGGUAAAUAAGAAAAAAAAAAAAAAAAAUCAAAAUCCCUAACCUAAGUGAGUGGUGAUUCCAGUUCCCACUAGCGCUUUCACAGUUCAAGUAAUAUAUGUGACUUUGUUAUAAAGCUUAUUGAAGAUGAAGGAAUUGUAUUCUAUUUCUAGAACAAGGGCUUUGAAGUUGAUUUCUUAUUGCUUUUAGGAAAUUGAAGCUAUGAAUAGCUAUAAUGUGAAAAUUCAAAUACUGGAGUUUCACUCUUGUGUUGUCAUCACCUAAAGCCACAAUAAACUGUUAAUUCUCAUCUAAAUUCCCCGAAGA
RNAcentral lists this long non-coding RNA (3210 nucleotides) under Anas platyrhynchos platyrhynchos (common mallard). Its description in RNAcentral is "lncRNA (ENSAPLG00000018664.1)". Lineage: Eukaryota; Metazoa; Chordata; Aves; Anseriformes; Anatidae. The record is from RNAcentral.